This 224-nucleotide non-coding RNA is filed under the name unclassified sequences. RNAcentral describes it as "RT-2 RNA". It matches the Rfam family "RT-2 RNA". From Rfam's summary of the family: Coriobacteriales (Actinobacteria), Clostridiales (Firmicutes). Downstream gene The record is from Rfam by way of RNAcentral.
CACGGCCAGACCUAGUAAGCGCGAGCUGAACGCAGAGCCAUAGAGGAAGGAAGGCGCGACGGUCGGCCGCAAAGGCCGUGAAUCGGUACCCCGCGAGCGGCGGCGGACGCUGCUUGCAUGGCGGCGCGUUGUGCGUUCCGCGCCGUUUCAUGCCGCCGACUCACGCGGUUAGCAGAACGACACAUUGGAAACCGUGCGGGGUACACCAUGAAUUCAGAGGAAAG